AUCAAGCUGAAUCACCGGUUCUCGUCAGAUCACCGAAAUUAAGCAACGUCGAGCCUGGCCAGUAUCUAGAUGGGUGACCGCUUGGGAAUACCAGUUGCUGUAAG
Molecule: ribosomal RNA, 104 nt
Filed under: Acanthosepion pharaonis
Lineage: Eukaryota; Metazoa; Mollusca; Cephalopoda; Sepiida; Sepiidae
Source: RNAcentral